RNA transcript from Propithecus coquereli (Coquerel's sifaka), 1218 nucleotides. It is a transcript of the gene named general transcription factor IIH subunit 2 pseudogene, with no coding region annotated. Lineage: Eukaryota; Metazoa; Chordata; Mammalia; Primates; Indriidae. The record is from RefSeq and is a predicted model, not a curated record. The transcript has a single exon.
UAUUGUAUAAUAAAAUACAUUUUUAAAAAAAUGGAUGAAGAACCUGAAAGAACUAAACGAUGGGAAGGAGGCUAUGAAAGAACAUGGGAGAUCCUUAAAGAAGAUGAGUCUGGAUCACCUAAAGCUACAAUAGAAGAUAUUCUGUUCAAAGCAAAGAGGAAAAGAGUAUUUGAGCACCGUGGACAAGUUCGACUUGGAAUGAUGUGCCACCUUUAUGUGGUAGUAGAUGGAUUAAGAACAAUGGAAGACCAAGAUUUGAAGCCCAAUAGACUGACAUGUACUUUAAAGUUGCUGGAAUACUUCGUAGAGGAAUAUUUUGAUCAAAAUCCUAUUAGUCAGAUUGGAAUAAUUGUAAUUAAGAGUAAAAGAGCUGAAAAACUUACUGAACUCUCAGGAAACCCAAGGAAACACAUAGCAUCCCUGAAGAAAGCUGUAGAUAUGACCUGCCAUGGAGAACCAUCUCUUUAUAAUUCCUUAAGCAUAGCUGUGCAAACUCUAAAACACAUGCCUAGACAUACAAGUAGAGAAGUCCUAAUCAUCUUCAGCAGCCUUACAACUUGUGAUCCAUCUAAUAUUUAUGAUCUAAUCAAGACCCUAAAGGCAGCUAAAAUUAGAGUGUCUGUUAUUGGAUUGUCUGCAGAGGUUCGAGUUUGCACUGUACUUGCUCGUGAAACUGGUGGCACAUACCAUGUUAUUUUAGAUGAAAGCCAUUACAAAGAAUUACUAACACAUCGUGUUAGUCCUCCACCUGCCAGCUCAAGUUCUGAAUGCUCACUUAUUCGUAUGGGAUUUCCUCAGCACAUCAUUGCUUCUUUGUCUGAUUAAGAUGCAAAACCCUCUUUCAGCAUAGUGCAUUUGGAUAGCAAUACUGAGCCAGGGCUUACAUUAGGAGGUUAUUUCUGUCCACAGUGUCGGGCAAAGUACUGUGAGCUACCUGUUGAAUGUAAAAUCUGUGGUCUUACUUUGGUGUCAGCUCUGCGUUUGGCACAAUCUUACCAUCAUUUAUUUCCUUUGGAUGCUUUUCAAGAAAUUUCCCUAGAAGAAUAUAGUGGAGAAAGAUUUUGUUAUGGAUGUCAGGGGGAAUUGAAAGACCAACACGUCUAUAUUUGCACUGUGUGCCAAAAUGUUUUCUGUGUGGACUGUGAUGUUUUUGUUCAUGAUUCUCUACACUGUUGUCCUGGCUGUAUUCAUAAGAUUCCAAGUCAUUCAGGUAUUUGA